Molecule: unclassified non-coding RNA, 281 nt
Filed under: Hevea brasiliensis (rubber tree)
Lineage: Eukaryota; Viridiplantae; Streptophyta; Magnoliopsida; Malpighiales; Euphorbiaceae
Source: RNAcentral
CUACUUGUCCUCUCUGCAAGUACAACAUUGUCAAAGGAAAUGAACAAGUAUGAUGAAAGGGAUAGGGAAACCCACAAACAGCUGGUUUCAUCCACCUGCUCUCUGUUUAUCUUUCCGUGCAGAAUAGAUCAGGGCAAAAGGAAAGAAGCUUCUCCAAAUUCUUGGCAAAAUUACAGUAUAUGGAGCUGAAUUUGUCAAUAGAGCUGCCUUUGUCUUUUCCGGCCUUUGGAGUUUUCUCAAUUUGUGUUUAGUUGUUUCAGAAUUUGCUGAAAAGAAAAAAA